This 409-nucleotide long non-coding RNA is filed under the name Musa acuminata (dwarf banana). Its description in RNAcentral is "long non-coding RNA (MACU_LNC004969)". The record is from RNAcentral. Lineage: Eukaryota; Viridiplantae; Streptophyta; Magnoliopsida; Zingiberales; Musaceae.
CUGACAUCCCUGGCAACUGUAUCAUUAUCAUUAAUAGAGGACCUUAGCUCCUCUUUUGAUGCAGAAAGAUCGACGGAUAGUUUUCCUUCACAAGGUAAAGGUAGGCUUGCUUGAAUAUUUGGCAUCUCAACAUCACUCUCAUCAAUUUCCAUCUCCACAUCAUUGUCAUCUUUCAGAAUAGGUAGUGUUGUAGGACAGUUAAGACUCAUUUUCAAAAGAUUCAAGCUACGCCGAGCAUUCCAUGCUGAUGAAAAACUUCCGUUGUUUCCUGCAGAUCCAUUAGACUUCAUGCGUAGAAGUUCAUCCUAUUGACAAGAAGAUAUGUGAGCAAUUUGAAAUCUAAAACUUGAUGAUGCCAAAAGGAUAAAAUGAGUAUCACAGAAGUACCACCUUUAGUUGGCGUAUCUGC